RNAcentral lists this transfer RNA (26 nucleotides) under Colobus polykomos (king colobus). RNAcentral describes it as "partial tRNA-Pro". Lineage: Eukaryota; Metazoa; Chordata; Mammalia; Primates; Cercopithecidae. The record is from RNAcentral.
GGCAUUCUAUCUUAAACUACUCUCUG